GCACUGCUGAGGAGUCCCACAAUAGGAUGAAACGGCCGCCCAGUGC
Molecule: non-coding RNA, 46 nt
Organism: Schistosoma curassoni
Lineage: Eukaryota; Metazoa; Platyhelminthes; Trematoda; Strigeidida; Schistosomatidae
Source: Rfam